AGCCAAUCACACGGCUAAGCGGCAGCGACGGCGUGAGGUGCGGCCUCUUGAGGCAGAGGAGUGGGGCGGGCUGUGUGACGGGCUUCGGCCACAGCCAAUCGUAAGUGAAGACGGCGAGCGGGGUGCCCCUGCGUCAGAACAAAUGCGGCAAAUCGCUUGGGAGGGAGGGGAAGCGCUCCUCCACCAGCGGGCAUUUUUGCGCUCACGCGCGACUGCUCCAGGCUGUCAUUGCUCUCCUGACCGUCUACGAGAAGACUGGGAAACUUGAGAGGCUUUCCCAUUGAGUGUUUUCAAUGGGAAAUGUCUAACUGCUCUGUGGGUGUACACCACGGCCAGUUGCUAAUUUUGGAACACUUGUGAAUCCUGGGCCCAGAGUCAUGACCAAUACUGGAUUCCCCAGGAUCAACCAUCUGAGCAGAUACCUUGGAAUGUCCCCAGAUUUCAGAGCCUCGGACCAGCAGCAACACACUCUGAAGUAGGUCUCAGAAGACAAAAAGCUGAAAUCAACUCAUGCUUCCUGCUACACAGAAUCCACUGAGAGGAAAAGGAAACUUCACCGAAACUUCAGAAAGCUACAGAAAUGACAUCCAUUUUCACAAUCCCAGAAGGAAAGAUGCAUCUGAAGGGAAUAAAAACAGAGCAAUGGAAGAGUAUUUGUUAAAAUAAAUGGCUUUGACAGGGCAUUUUCUCUAAAGGUCUCCUUUGCCUCAAAUAGUACUCCUGCCUUCAGUCCAUCUUGCAUGCCACCCAGCUGUGGGCAUCCUGGCAGUUGCUGCCAUGUCCUUGCCUAAAAGCCUCCACCCCCAACCAACCCACC
This 817-nucleotide long non-coding RNA is filed under the name Homo sapiens (human). RNAcentral's name for it is "HSALNT0021387". The record is from RNAcentral. Lineage: Eukaryota; Metazoa; Chordata; Mammalia; Primates; Hominidae.